AGCUCCAAUAGCGUAUAUUAAAGUUGUUGCGGUUAAAAAGCUCGUAGUUGGAUCUGCGUCCUAGGCUAGCGGUCCCCCAGCGGGUGGUUACUGCUAUGCCUGGACUAACCUCUCCGGUUUUUCCUUGGUGCUCUUCACUGAGUGUCUUGGAUGGCUGGAACGUUUACUUUGAAAAAAUUAGAGUGCUUAAAGCAAGCAGCUGGCUUGAAUAGUGGUGCAUGGAAUAAUGGAAUAGGACUUCGGUUCUAUUUUGUUGGUUUUCGGAACUCGAGGUAAUGAUUAAGAGGGACAGACGGGGGCAUUAGUAUUGCGACGUUAGAGGUGAAAUUCUUGGAUCGUCGCAAGACUGACUACUGCGAAAGCAUUUGCCAAGAAUGUUUUCA
RNAcentral lists this ribosomal RNA (383 nucleotides) under uncultured eukaryote. Its description in RNAcentral is "SSU rRNA". It matches the Rfam family "Eukaryotic small subunit ribosomal RNA", at positions 587 to 972 of the family's 1831-position model. The record is from RNAcentral.